Molecule: long non-coding RNA, 688 nt
Filed under: Vigna radiata
Lineage: Eukaryota; Viridiplantae; Streptophyta; Magnoliopsida; Fabales; Fabaceae
Description: long non-coding RNA (VRAD_LNC004268)
Source: RNAcentral
AGAGAAUGAAAUGUCAUUUAUUUACUUACGUGGAUCUAAUGAGGUGGAUUUAUUAUUUUUGAAAUUCUUUUUCUGAUAUUAGGCUUAUUAUUUUCAAAAUUAAAUUAAGAGUAGAUGUCUAAAGGGUUGAUCGUGGUUUGGAAGGGAGAUCUGCAAGAUUGGGAAGAACAUCAGUGAAUGACCCUAACACCACCCUAUAGUCUAACGUUGCCGGAGAUAUCGCUGUUGGUCGUACCCAUCAGCUCCUCCAUUAUCGCAAACUUGUGCCACCACCAUCAAUUAAAAUCCAAAAACGCAAGAACUAGGAACCCUAACUCCAAAUUUCAAAAAGAAAAAAAAAUAACUCAAGUAUAGGAAAUCCUCAAAAUCGAAUUUGAAAACAAAGAUUCCAACUCCUCCAAUCGCAACAUUAGAAAAACCAAGAACAGAAACCCCAAAAAGUUCCCAAAUUCAGAAACCCUAAAACCAAACCCCCAAAUUACAAGAUCAAAACCCUCAACCUAUAAUUGUCAACCUGCAGAGAAGAAAUAGAAACACAAGAACAACCUUAAAUCACAAGCCAAGAAACUGCGAAGCAUCCUCCCCGUGAGCCCUGGCGCUGCGAAAAAGGAGUUCGCACCCUAGCCACCUGAACUCGCAUCCCCAACGUGCAAAAACCCCCCAAUCAGAACCAAGAAAGAUAAGAGAA